GCGGGUCGCCGCGUGCCGGCCGGGG
This 25-nucleotide non-coding RNA is filed under the name Arabidopsis thaliana (thale cress). The record is from RNAcentral. Lineage: Eukaryota; Viridiplantae; Streptophyta; Magnoliopsida; Brassicales; Brassicaceae. RNAcentral also lists the same sequence under 1 other name.